AACAACAACAACAACAACAACAACAACAACAACAACAACAACAACAACAACAACUACAGCAACAGCAAUAGCAACAUCAACAACAACAACAACAACAACAACAACAACAACAACAACAGCAACAGCAACAACAACAGCAACAUCAACAUCAACAUCAACAACAACAACAACAACAACAACAACAACAACAAAAACAACAACAACAACAUCAACAACAACAACAACAUCCAUAGCAACUACAAUAGCAGCAGCAGCAGCAACAGCAACAUCAACGACAAC
RNAcentral lists this long non-coding RNA (279 nucleotides) under Hordeum vulgare. RNAcentral's name for it is "long non-coding RNA (HVUL_LNC011828)". The record is from RNAcentral. Lineage: Eukaryota; Viridiplantae; Streptophyta; Magnoliopsida; Poales; Poaceae.